Molecule: ribosomal RNA, 464 nt
Filed under: uncultured bacterium
Lineage: Bacteria
Description: bacterial SSU rRNA
Rfam family: Bacterial small subunit ribosomal RNA
Source: RNAcentral
CCUACGGGACGCAGCAGUGGGGAAUAUUGCACAAUGGGCGCAAGCCUGAUGCAGCCAUGUCGCGUGUAUGAAGAAGGCCUUCGGGUUGUAAAGUACUUUCAGCUGGGAGGAAGGCGAUAAGGUUAAUAACCUUGUCGAUUGACGUUACCCGCAGAAGAAGCACCGGCUAACUCCGUGCCACCAGCCGCGGUAUACGGAGGGUGCAAGCGUUAAUCGGAAUUACUGGGCGUAAAGCGCACGCAGGCGGUUUGUCAAGUCGGAUGUGAAAUCCCCGGGCUCAACCUGGGAACUGCAUUCGAAACUGGCAGGCUAGAGUCUUGUAGAGGGGGGUAGAAUUCCAGGUGUAGCGGUGAAAUGCGUAGAGAUCUGGAGGAAUACCGGUGGCGAAGGCGGCCCCCUGGACAAAGACUGACGCUCAGGUGCGAAAGCGUGGGGAGCAAACAGGAUUAGAUACCCUCGUAGUC